Molecule: unclassified non-coding RNA, 228 nt
Filed under: plant metagenome
Description: partial contains small subunit ribosomal RNA, internal transcribed spacer 1, and 5.8S ribosomal RNA
Rfam family: Eukaryotic small subunit ribosomal RNA (bases 1-54)
Source: RNAcentral
GGAAGUAAAAGUCGUAACAAGGUAUCCGUAGGUGAACCUGCGGAAGGAUCAUUCAUAAUAAGUGUUUUACUGCACUUUUUAAAAAUAGUACUCACCUUGUGUGCAAUGUUGUGUUUCUUUUCGGAGAAACACCUACACCAACCUAUAACCUUGAACCACUUUGUCUGAAAAACUAUUAUGAAUACUUAAUUCAAAAUACAACUUUCAACAACGGAUCUCUUGGCUCUC